RNAcentral lists this ribosomal RNA (120 nucleotides) under uncultured bacterium. Its description in RNAcentral is "partial 16S ribosomal RNA". It matches the Rfam family "Bacterial small subunit ribosomal RNA", at positions 796 to 918 of the family's 1533-position model. The record is from RNAcentral.
CACGCCGUAAACGAUGAUCACUCGCUGUUAGCGAUACACAGUUAGCGGCUAAGCAAAAGCAUUAAGUGAUCCACCUGGGGAGUACGGCCGCAAGGCUGAAACUCAAAGGAAUUGACGGGG